RNAcentral lists this ribosomal RNA (301 nucleotides) under uncultured bacterium. Its description in RNAcentral is "partial 16S ribosomal RNA". It matches the Rfam family "Bacterial small subunit ribosomal RNA", at positions 509 to 807 of the family's 1533-position model. The record is from RNAcentral.
CAGCAGCCGCGGGAAUACAGAGGGUGCAAGCGUUAUCCGGAUUUAUUGGGUUUAAAGGGUCCGUAGGCGGAUCUGUAAGUCAGUGGUGAAAUCUCACAGCUUAACUGUGAAACUGCCAUUGAUACUGCAGGUCUUGAGUAAAUUUGAAGUGGCUGGAAUAAGUAGUGUAGCGGUGAAAUGCAUAGAUAUUACUUAGAACACCAAUUGCGAAGGCAGGUCACUAAGAUUUAACUGACGCUGAUGGACGAAAGCGUGGGGAGCGAACAGGAUUAGAUACCCGUGUAGUCCCUGUCUCUUAUAC